This 29-nucleotide non-coding RNA is filed under the name Rattus norvegicus (Norway rat). Lineage: Eukaryota; Metazoa; Chordata; Mammalia; Rodentia; Muridae. The record is from RNAcentral.
UGAGAAAGAAGGAAUCCUUUGAAAGAGGA